GCGGGAAGAUCCACCUUUAAUCUGGGCCACACCUUCUGCUGGCAGCCUAUAUGAAGGACAGGAAAGGACGCUUGCUCCCGCUGGUGUUAGAGCCUACUUCUGGAUUCUGGCACAGACUGGAGACCAGCUGAGGCAUCCAGCCUUGUGGACUCAACAACUACUGGAUUUAUGGGCCUUCUGUUGAGGGUUCUGCAAGAUAGGCCACAGAGUUAACAGUGGAGUUAAGAGGAGCUAAGUGCUGGUCCAGGACCAUGCGCGACACUAUCCACUUUUGUCUCCCUGGCUGAAGACAACCGCCUUGGUUCUCUUUUGUGGAGUGUAGCACACUGACUUUUUCCUUCAAAGUCUUGAUUUUGCUGGUGAAGGCACUUGAUGGUCUGAUCACUUUCUCCAUGCUGUUUUAGGCUAAGGGUUUCUGGAGCUGAUUACAGGAGAUUUGUGAAUCCAAAAUGAGUUCCAGACAUUGUCAUAGAUGGAAGGACUUUAUGACGUUGGUUCCAUUAUUAUCUCCCGUUUUAUAGCCAGGGGUCAGAAGUACAGCGCUUCUUUCCUCACAAACUGUUAGAGGGUAAGUCUCCAGUUUGGUUUUAUGGGAUGUGAGAAAGUAGGAUCACUCCCUGAAAAUCUGGGCCCCUUCUCUGCGUUUGGGAAGAGGGGGUUGAAAUUCCCAUACUUCGCAUUCAGCUGACCCCGACCCCCUCUGAAUGCACCCUGCAUAGAAAAGUGGUGGCUUCCUUGGCAUUGGAAUCGGGAAACUGACUUUCCAUCCCAGAGGCCAUAGCUCCAUCCAGUUUA
Long non-coding RNA from Onychomys torridus (southern grasshopper mouse), 795 nucleotides. RefSeq lists it as uncharacterized. The transcript has 3 exons. The record is from RefSeq and is a predicted model, not a curated record. Lineage: Eukaryota; Metazoa; Chordata; Mammalia; Rodentia; Cricetidae.